Long non-coding RNA from Orcinus orca (killer whale), 10607 nucleotides. RefSeq lists it as uncharacterized. The transcript is spliced from 9 exons. The record is from RefSeq and is a predicted model, not a curated record. NCBI's taxonomy places the organism in Eukaryota, Metazoa, Chordata, Mammalia, Artiodactyla, Delphinidae.
UAUAUAUAUAUAUAUAUAUAUAUAUAUAUAUAUAUUACAGCCAUGACCAUUAGCCAAGUAGCUACAAAUAAAACAUUUUUGGGAAAAAAAAUUUUUGGAACCAACCCACCUUAGCGUGUGUGUAAAAAUAUGUGGCAGUUUAGACUUAAUUCCAGGAACAUCUCUGUAUUAUAGCUGUAGUGCCUAAAUCUGUUAGCUCUGGUAUUUGGAGAGCCUUUAAAAGUCUAUACGUGUCUUUGUCAGUCUGUAACUUACCUCCUCUGGGCUUGUGAAAGUGUAAAGGCUGCAUACAUAAUGCAAAACUCAGUCCUUUCAGUCCCUCUCCCAGCAGCAAAUUCACUCUCCAAGAUGCUCAUGACUCAUUUUCCUUUCUCUUCCCUGCUCAGAGUUCUGAUAACAAACAGGAAGCACAGGGGAACAGAUAAUAAAAUAGGAAAUCCAACGGUGGCUCCAUAAUACUUAUGAGAGCCUACAGUGUGCUAGAAACCUAGCUCAGGGCUUCUCAACGUGGCUGCCCACUGCUUGCACCGGGGCAGCUUUAACUAUGACUGAAGCCAGGAUCCCACUCAGAGAUGCUGAUGUAAUUGGUGUGGGGUGUGGCCCAGCCUCAGGAAUUCAGAGAGCUCCUCAAGUAUUUCUAGAGUGUGGCCAGGGUUGGGGACCUCUGCUCUAGACACACAGUGGUGGUCGAGAUAGACCCGGGGUUGGAAAUGGUCACAAGCUGUUAGCUAGGACGUGCCCCAUCCAAACUUUGUACUUGCUCAGAUGUUUCAAACAGGCAGCUUCUCAGCCAAAAUAAAUAAAUAAUUUUAAAAGUUAUUUUUUAAAAAAAGGGACUUCCCUGAUGGCACAGUGGUUAAGAAUCCGCCUGCCAAUGCAGGGGACACGGGUUCGAGCACUGGUCCGGGAAGAUCCCACAUGCCACGGAGCAACUAAGCCCAUGUGCCACAACUACUGAAGCCCGCGCACCUAGAGCCUGUGCUCUGCAACAAGAGAAGCCACUGCAAUGAGAAGCCCGCGCACCGCAACGAAGAGUAGCUCCCACUCGCCACAGCUAGAGAAAGCCUGCGCGCAGCAGCAAAGACCCAAUGCAGUCGAAAAUAAUUAAUUUUUUUUAAAAGUUAUUAAAAGACAGCAGCUUGAGAGGAGGUUUGAAAUAGGACAGCCUGUUCUGUCAGGUCCCAGAACGUAUAUUUAUUAAGUGCCAUUAAAAGGGACCUGAAGAGGGGCUUCCCUGGUGGUGCAGUGGUUGAGUCUGCCAGCCGAUGCAGGGGACACGGGUUCGUGCCCCGGUCUGGGAAGAUACCACAUGCCGCGGAGCAGCUAGGCCCAUGAGCCAUGGCUGCUGAGCCUGCGCAUCCGGAGCCUGUGCUCCGCAAUGGGAGAGGCCACAACAGUGAGAGGCCCGCGUACUACAAAAAAAAAAAAAAAAAAAAAAGGACCUGAACAAAACUGGAUAUUCUUGUAGGCAUAAGGGAGAAAACUGAAAUAUUCUUGGAACCAAAUCUAUCUCAUGAGGAAAAAUAACAAUGUAUUCAGUAGCACGUGGGUAAUGGUUUCUCCUAGGGGAUGAGAUUAAAAGUCACUGAAGGGUGAGAAAAUGCAUAAUUGAGAAGAUGGAGAAUGGCCUGAAUUUUCUCCAGGGGACUCUGUGUAAUGUGCCUUUCCCCCUCCAAAUACCUAGAACCAUUGCCCUGUGACUUAUGUAUUUCAGUGCUGGACUGUCACAUAUUAGACUUACAAAGGUAUUUGUCUGUGAAUUGAACAAGACUUCCAGGAGGUGAAGACUGAUUCACAAGGGUGACCCUUGCUCCCUGCAACAGAGUGAGACCUCUUUAAUCUCUUGGGCUCCAACCUAGUUUUAGACAUGAGGACAAGAUUACAAUAUCAAAGGAAAGAUGAGCGAAUUCUUGGUUAAUGUGGUGAGUCUAGCUUGGUGAAUAACUGAUGUCAACUACUGGGAAUAAAGGACUUGAAGAUGAAAUGCCGCUGAAAUUUGUGUGACUCUAACCAUUGGAUGGUCAGAUGCCCCAGUGUGGCAUUUGUUCACUAGAUACUUGCCAUAUAUAAAAAUGGCACCUCCUUUAUUCAUGUGUUCAUUUAGUGAGUGUCUACUGCACAUCUUUGGUGCCUCCAGGAUUUGGCCUUAGCUGCUGGGGAUGUAGUGAGAAGUCAGAGAGACCGGGACCCUGCCCUCCCAAAGCCCACAGUUUGAUGAGGGAGGCAGACAAGGCAACAGUUAAACACAGUGUUAAUUGUUAGGAUAGGGUGAUAACAGGUGCCACCAGAGCCCAGGGGAGAGGCCAGCCCCUGACUCAGACUUGGUGGCUAAGGAGGGCUUCCUGGAAGAAGUGAUAUCCAAGCUGAUGGGUAACAGGUUAGAUGAAGGUGGGAGGGAGGGCACAUGAAAAGGCCCAGAGUUAAGAGCAAGCACAGCUCAUCAGGGAACUAAAAUGCUAUAGAGCUGGAACACAGGGUGUGCGUAAGGGUGGUGGGUACAGUGCGAGAUGGCUUAGUGAGGUCUGCCUGGUAAGGAGCUUUGGGGUUUAUUCUGAGGGCAGUGGUGGGGGACACUAAAGGGUUUCAAGCAGAGGAGUGACACGCCCAGAGUUGUGUUUUAGGAUGCAAGUUCUGGUUUAUCCUGGAAUCUCCCUAAGCAUCUGUCAUAUGCCUCAAGUAAUAGAUGUUCAAUACACGUUGCUCAGAUAAACAGCCCAGAUGGGAUGGGAACACUGAAACCUACUUCCAAGGAAUCUCCCAUCCAGCUGUAAAAGACAGACAAGCACCUGGCACCACAAGGCAGGAUGCUGUCAGCCCCAGAAGGGUGCUAUUUACCAGGCUCAUAGGUGUUCAGACAAGGAGGAGCUUUGGGGUCGCUGAGGUGGUCAGGGAGGCUUCCUGGAGGAAGUGGGGCAGGUGCUGGCUUUGUGGGAUAAGUAGGGUUGGGGGAAGCAAAAGGGAAGGGGAAGCCUUCUCAGGCCCAGGGAGGCAGUGUAAUGGUAUGAGAAGUGCCCAGCACUUGACCUUAAAACCCCUGAGUUCAAGGCCCGCUUGGCCAUAGGCAAGUAGCAGACUCAUUUAUUGUGGUUUCUGCAUGUGGGGAAGUUUGGUGAGGGCCCCCAGCCUGCGUUGUCCUCCCUAUUCAGCCCAAAAAAUACUCACUGUAGAAUUCUGUCUUUUCUCAAGGAGUCGCUGGCUUCCUCCACCAGGACCUACCUUCCAGCGUGGAAAAGUCAUUUUAGGAUCUGUUGUGGUAGGGCAGAGACUCAAAUACCUGGACUGGUGGGUAAGGAAAGAACUGGAUUCCACUCCUGGCAACAUCCCGAGGAGCUGGGUUCCUUAACAAUCCACUCACUUAACCUUGUUCUUCUGUUUUAUUAUCAGUAAUUUUUGAACUUAUGUUUUCUGUUUUUCUCAUCUGUAAAAUGGGUACAAUUCCUGUUCUGACAGGGUGAGUGAGAGGAUUAAAUGAAACACUUGUGAAUGGUGGCGGAUCACAACAGGAGCAUCACGGCUGUGCAGGGAGGAAAUAUGUGAACUCUGACCACUAGGUGGCAGCAGGGCUCUAGGAAUCACCUGAGAUUGGGCUGGGAGGCACCACCUCAGCAAAUUGAAACGCCCAGGGUGCUGGGCAGGUGGUUCAAAUGAGAGGAAGGGCCAGGUGAAAGACAUUAGGGAGUGGCAGGGACUGUGGUGGACCACAGCAUACAUAUUCCAUCUAAGGAGCUUGCAGCUUCUUGGCUUCAACCAGUGUUGCCACAUCAGAAUGAGGGCCCAGUGGUGCCAGAGAUUCUGAUUUUUCAAGAGAAGCCAGAAACCAGGGUUUUGUUUUGAUUUUUGAUGUGAAAUCUGUGUGGAGAUUGUGUGGGUCACAACAGGUCCCCCUUUUUGCAUCUUCUGCCACAGAGUGUGGGUUGGCUGCCCUGGUAGAGAAUCUCCUCUGAAGAAUUAGCUUCACAUCUGUUUUCUGUGAAAUGCCGUCAUGUGUCUCCACUUCACUCACUACUUCAUUAGAUGUUAAUUUUCCUUCCUUGGAUCUCUGGGGAGAACUGUUUCGUUUUCUGCUAUUGUAACUAUUGUUGUCAUCAAACAUUUAUUCAAUCGUGGGCCAUAUUUUCUGACCACCCAUGAGGCUCUCCAUAGUACCUAUUUCACAAGGUUCUUUUGAGGAAUAAAUGAGGUACUGAUAUAAUAUCGCUUAGCCCAGCACCUGGCUCAUUAGCACUCAAUAAAUAUUAUUAUGGGGACUUUAGAAAAGAUGGCAUGACAUUUGGAGGAGGGUUUGCAGGGCCUGCCUUUCUCUCUAUAUUUGGGAUGGUGACAAGGCCUGGCUACUCCCUUAUGUAGAUGAAGCCCCCUGGUUCCGGCUCCUGAGGGCCUAGUAGAGGUUGGAUACAGCCCUUCCCUCAGAGGCUGCUGUCACACCCCAAAAGCAUUCCUGGGACUUUCCCUUGUCCGGUUCCCUGGUGCUGCGUCUGGGUCAGGGUGGGCAGAUUUCCCCAUCCAGGGCAAUCCCAACCUUGGGCAGGAGUGGCCCAGAUUCUCCUGCCUCUCCCCAGCGAGAGGGCUUUCUGCAGUCCAUUGCACCCGGACAAGUCAGGCAGGUACUCAGGCAAUAAUCAGGCAUGCAGAUGCGCUGGAGCAGCAACUCUGGUCAGAGGCUCAGGGCCCUUUACAUCCAGGAGCAUCUUCUCAGGGUGUUCCAAGGGGACCCAGCAGCUUUGGGGACAACGACUCCUUGCUGGAGGCUCCACUGGCAGAUUCAGGAACAAGGAGAGGGUGAGAUCAGAUUUGUCCUUGAGGGCUCUGACUUAUGCUGGGCUCAGGAGCACCAGCUAAUGCUGUUCAGUUAGGUCUCAGGCCACCACCAUGCUUCCAGGAUACCUCAGGGUGGUUCUGGGUUCCCUGUUUGGGACCCAUUUGCCUGUCUUCAGGGGUCUGGGCAUCCUUGAGGCCUGUGAGUAGAGAGAGAGCUCAGUGGCUGCAGGUUUGGGACAGCCCUGAGCCUUAGGAGGAUUGGGCCAGAGUGGGCAUAGGACUUGCAUCCACCCCUUCUGAGCAGCUCACAUCUCAGAGGUUGGUUAUUUGCUUGCUUGCUCUCACAUUUAUUCCCUGCCCAGCUCAGCUCUGUACUUCAGGGAACUACACUGCCCAGGCUCCUUUGUUCUCUGGUUUUCUGGUGGGUUUGUCCAAUGGGAGGCACUGGCAGGGGGAAGGAGGGGAGAACCCAAGGUAUUUCUCCCUCUCUCUGCUUCAGGCAGCAUCUCUGCCUUGGCUGGUCUUCUCCAUGGUUCCCACUUCCACUGGAUGGUCCUUCCCUCUUGGUCUUAGGUCCCGUUGGACAGGCCUGGCUAUACUUCCAGUUUCUGUAAGAUAGCUUCAGAUACUGGGCCUUAAUAAUGCUGCCUCUUCCCUGCGUUCCUCCAACCUAAAGACUAGAGUGUCUUUUUGCUGUUGUUAAUCCCUGUGGUGAUUCUAGGAUCUUCUUUCACCUGUGUAACUUCCUCCCUAAGUCCCUCUGUUCACAAGGCAUGGAGUGGUUCUCUCUCUGACUGGACAGUGACUCUUGUGCAGCUCAGCAGCUAGGGAUACAGGGAAGGAGUGGGUAGUAAAGCUGGGAGGCUCCUAGGUACCUCUGCCCCUCAGGCUGCCGAGCCCUCAGAGAAGAUUGGGACCAUCACCAGGUCUGCUGUACCUUCCCUGGGUCAGGGAACAGUCCAGCCCUCCCCACCCAGAUCUCUUGGAAGUGUCUUCAGCUAUAGACAGCAGCUGAGUGGGUCACGCUCCAGGGUCAGUGGCUGUGAGAAUCUGCCGAGCAGCCCUUGUUUGGGCCAACUGAAGCUGUUCUGCAGGGCCCAGAGAAGGACACAGAGGAGACCCAAGGGCCAUUGUGUGACAGCAGAGCCAGGCUGUGGGCAGGAGGAGAGGGUCGCCUCCUUCCAGCCACAGUGCCUCGAGUCUGGCCCUGGCUCAGGAGGGGUGGUGAGCCCCCGGUCAGUGAGACGGGAAGUGGAGAUGAGGCUUCUGGCCAGGAAAAAGCCUGCUUGUCUUGAUUCUGGGAUCUCUGAUUCCAGGCACAUCAGCAGAGCCUUUGGUCUGGGGAAAGGCUAGUGCACUACUAGCAAUCACCACAGCUUCUGUUCACUUCUCACAGGGCUUUUUGAGGGUUACGUGAGGAAAUCCACUUUACGUGAUUAAUCCAGUGCUGGCACAUAGGAAGCUCUCAAGACCUGCGAACUAAAGAAAAACAAACAAGAAAACACAAAUCGCAACAGCAACCAGGCACUGUGGACCUUAUUCUGUAGGAAUAAGCUGGUGUCUAGUUAGUACUGAGCCCCAGGCCUCUCCCCUGGAGCAGAGCUGGGGCUGGCAACACGGUUCCAGCUGCCAAGGCUAGGAAGAAGGCUGAGUCAGGUGAAGGAGUUGUGAGGUUGGGAGGUCACAGUGAUCUCAGGGCACACUCCCCAGAGACGUGGGGAUGAGCAGUAGGUGUCCAGAACCAUAAUGGGGCACUUGAGGACAGCUAUCACCUUGUGUCCAGGCAGGACAGAGAUCAAGGCUAGGUCAGAAAGCAGGCAGUAGGAUCCCAGUCUUUGGGUUGAGGUUCAAGUACUAGGCCCUGGGGACUUAAAGGUCAGGUCCACUAAAAAUACAAAGAUCCUGGCAAGAGGCAGGAUGGAGAGCUGGACACAGGGACUUCAUUUUGAGCCCUGGGGACCAGAGCUGCUGGAAAUCCUCCCAUCUGAUGACAGGAUUGAACCCAGGGAGCAAGAUGCGUUGGACGUGGGAGAGGGUCUGGGAUGAAGAGGCUGUGGUAAUCAGGAGCCCAGACUUCACAUUGCAAAACGUCCAAAUUCAAAUCCUGACUCCACACUCACCAGCUGUGUGACCUCGUUGAACAAGUUACUUCAUGUCUCUAAAACCUCACUUUCCUCUUUGUGGGUAAACCAGGAAAUAGUCGUACCUCAGAGGGCCGUUGGAAUGUGGAAAUGGGAUCACGCGUGGAGGUUUUGGCAGUCUAGGACAUAUGAGUGCUGCUUAAAUGAUUGAUCCUCAAAGACACAGCUAUUUUUGCUGGCUCCCACCUCCUCCAAUGUACUCCUCCUAAGCUUUGCCAGCAGUGACCCCAGCCCGAGUCUUCUCUGGGCUAACACUCCUUGUACUUUCAACCUUUGCUCUAACGUCUGUGUUCCUGACCCUUCACCACCUCAGGCUCUGAAAAAAUAGCCCCUCACUGCCUGAGCUCUUUCCAAACUGAAAGCAAGUGGAUGUCUUAAGAGGCCAAAGGUUGUUCCCCUGGGAAUGUAAUGUGACCACGUCCUCGGAUACUCCCUGGUGAUUAGAGCUCGCCAUCUUGAAUUACUUCAUCUUCAUCCUCCCAAGAAGCUUCUUCACAACCCCAGGCCAAGCAGUGGAAGACAGCCUUGCUGAUAUGCCUUUGUUUCUGCAACAUUAACUUCAUUCAAACCAAUGAGCAGCCCUGAGAUGUGCAUUGUGGAGGUUAUUUGCCUGAGGAGGGUUGUGGGGCUCAGAGAGCUCCAGCACCUUGCUCAAGAUCACACAGCAAGUUAAUGGCCAAGCUGGAAGCAAGGAUCAAGGCUCCGAACUUCCAGUGCACUGUUGGUUUUAUGAUUUUUAUUCUCCUUUACAAGAAGAGGAAGCCGUGCUUAGGGAAAUGAAGUCAUUGGCCUAAGGUCAAACAGAUGAGCCACUUACAGGUCAAGGCAGAGCUGAGACUGAACCAUGGAGGGAACUGACCCCAGAGAUGGUGCUCUUGGCCACAGCAGCUGUGCUUCCUACCUGAAGAGAGAUCAGGCUUCAGGCUCAGAGCCAUCAGGAGGCCUCAGUGUCUAGCUGGGAUUUGCUACGUUUCCUUGCAUUUAUAUCUGUGGCUGCCUUCCAUUUACAAUCACCCACUCUGUGCGAGGCCCUGUGUCAGACGCUGACGACACAAUGGCUGGGCAGCAGAGCAAGCCAAGAGGUUAAUCAGAGGAAGUUGUUCAGAAGACAAUUAACACCUUCUCUCCAACCAGCAGCUUAUUUGUAGGAACUGAAGCAAAGGGAUCAGGAGAGGCCUCUCUGAAAAUAUUCUAUCUGAGCAGCAACAUAAAGAAUGAGUAAGAACUGGCCGGCUGGAAACUGCAGCACAUCAAGCGGGUGGGCUGCUUGGCAGAGGAAAAAGCUUGGCAGGCCCCAAGAAUGGAAUAGAAGAGGAAAUCCAGGUUUAAUUUUGUUCAUUCUACCGUCGCACCUACUUCCACAGAAGAAAUCUUGGCUUCUGCUGUGAGAACCUUCUCAGGACUUCUGGGGGACAAUAAAGUCAGCAGAUUCGUGAUGAUCAGCUGCUCCUGAGCUGCGUAGAGCAACAGCCUCCGGACACGCAGGCUCAGCAGCCAUGGCUCACGGGCCCAGCCGCUCCACGGCAUGUGGGAUCUUCCCAGACCGGGGCACGAACCUGUGUCCCCUGCAUCGGCAGGCAGACUCUCAACCGCUGCGCCACCAGGGAAGCCCAAUAUAUAUUUUUUAUUAACACACAAGAUCUAGUUGGUCUAAUAGCUACUGUAAUUUCAAAAUAGUGAUGAACACAAAUGAUAUUCUGUGAUAUGAUAUGAAAUAUCUGUGAUUUCUAUUGGUGCCAAAGUUAUAGAAACUUUUAAUACCGCUGUGCUUUGUUUGCUACAUUCAUAAUAGAAGGAAAUGCUAAAUUUCAGUUUGAAGUUAGUAAAAAGGAUGUAAUUAUUUUCCAUUCAAAUUAAUGGUGUCUUGUUAAGAAACCUUGGUUUGGGCGUUGGGGGGGUUGCAUGAAACAGCUUGACUCCUGGAUUCAUAGGUGGGCAUGUAACCCAGUACUGACCAAUCAGAGCAGGGAUUGGCUUAGUGAUGGGCAUUUGAGCCAAACUGAUAUAAUCAGAGUGAAUCCUAGUCUUUUGCUGGACAACUGGGACAGUUCCUUUGCUGGACUUGCUAAGAGGAUUGGGUUUGGGCCUGGAGCAUACCACCUUGCCAUCACCGGGAGAGAACCUGUCUUAGAAUGAAGCAGACACAGAGGAAAAGAGAGCUGAGAAAUGAACUUCCACAUCUUCCUGGCAACAUUCCUCCUUUAAAUGUGUUAAUUAUGGAAGCCAAUACAUUACCUGUUAAAGGCAGUUUAAGUAGGGUUUUUUGUUAUUUGCAACCAAAGCAAUCACAACUAAUACUGUAUAGUCCCACAAAGUUUAGCAGAAUACGUGGCACAAAGUAGUUUGCUCAUGAAGGAAUGAUGAAUGAAUUUCAAACAAUGUAGCAACUUGACUGAUGUUAUUUUCUAAACUAUGCAUAUCUGGCUUGAUUGUGUAUUAAAAGAUGAAGGGUAUACUCAAAGUAAGCAUUCCACAGCCUUCUGUUGAUUGAAUGAAUAAAGGAAUGCAUCCAUUGUCAUUAUUUUCUAACCCCAAAUUUGCAUAUUCUUUAGUGAUAUAACCAGGACCAUAUAACCUGGAGAACAUAAGUCUAGAAACAUGAUGGACCAACAGUUACAAAUCAAGUCCAUGGCACACUCACCAUGGGGAAAGCCAUGCAUCAAUUUGAAGGAAUAGGUAGAUCUAUAUGUACUGAUAUGGAAAGACCUCCAAGACACAUUGAGAAGGAAAUUACAAAAUAGUAAUUAUUAUAGUAGGAUUCUGUUUUUGUUUAAAAGUCUCAAUGAAACUUUGAGGGUUUCUAGGUCUUAUAAUGAGUAUAUAAAACAAAGAAAAAUACCCUUUUUUUUUUUUUUCUUUUCUGGAAGGCCAUUCAUGAAAUACAAACAGUGGGCACCUGUGGGGAGGGAGUGGUGUUGGGUGGGUUGGUGACAGAACCUUGUCCUUUAUUUGUAUUGUUUAUUUUUUUUAAUAUACAAGGAUAAAAUAAUUAUGUCAUUUGUAAGUUAAAAUAAUUUAUAAUGAAAAAAUAAUAAAAUAACUCUGACAGAAGGUGGAAUAUUCCCUUUCAACCAAUUUUUCUUCUUUUGAGUUGUCUGUCAGUUUUCUCAGGGAAGCUGAAGAGAGCAGGGUUGCACCCAUCAUGCUGUACCCAGGAUGCUCUGCGGCUCCCGUGAUGCUGUGCCCAUGAUGCCAUGCUGUGCCCUCUAUGCCUUGCCCUGCCGGUAAGGCCAUGCCCUUUCCCUGGGAUUCUGCCAUUCUGGCUGCUCCAGGAGCCAAGGAGAUUUCACCCCAUGUAAAAUACUCCUGGGGUCGCCUACUGACCUGGAUUCUCCUCUCAGUAUCCUUACUUCAACCGUCUCUGCUGCCAAAAUACAUAUGGACCGGAUGAUCUCCCCUGCAAAGGGGAUAGGGAAUCAGAGCAUCUCACCGUCAAGGCAGAGGUCUCGGGGAGACACCCAUCCAAGGUAUGUUUGGGGUGGUUGAUCCAGUCCAAGCCCACUGGUGUGCAGACUGGGAAUUUGAGUGUUAGGUUGGAGAAGAGAUUUGUCCAAAUGUGAGUUCAGUGCCAGAGUGGGACUCCAACCUGACUUCCAGUUCAGGCCUCAUUUUAGGGAGGCUUCCCAAAAGUUCCAUCAUAGCUACUCCUUUAUGUUGAGAUCUUGAGUCUCUGAAAUAUCCCUGCUACAAUGCAUAUUUGUUACUUAA